AGGGUUUGAUUAUGGCUCAGGACGAACGCUGGCGGCGUGCUUAACACAUGCAAGUCGAACGGUGAAAGCGGAGCUUGCUCCGCUGGAUCAGUGGCGAACGGGUGAAUAACACGUGGGCAACCUGCCCCAGACUUCGGGAUAACUCUUCGAAAGAGGCGCUAAUACCGGAUAUGAACUCUGCAGGCAUCUGCGGAGUUGGAAAGUUUUUCGGUCUGGGAUGGGCCCGCGGCCUAUCAGCUAGUUGGUGAGGUAGUGGCUCACCAAGGCGACGACGGGUAGCCGGCCUGAGAGGGCGACCGGCCACACUGGGACUGAGACACGGCCCAGACUCCUACGGGAGGCAGCAGUGGGGAAUAUUGCGCAAUGGGCGAAAGCCUGACGCAGCAACGCCGCGUGCGGGAUGAAGGCCUUCGGGUUGUAAACCGCUUUCAGCAGGGAAGAAGCGAAAGUGACGGUACCUGCAGAAGAAGCACCGGCUAACUACGUGCCAGCAGCCGCGGUAAUUC
Molecule: ribosomal RNA, 506 nt
Filed under: uncultured bacterium
Lineage: Bacteria
Description: bacterial SSU rRNA
Rfam family: Bacterial small subunit ribosomal RNA
Source: RNAcentral